AAAAAAAGAAAGAAAGAAAGAAAAGAAAAGAAAAAGAAAAGAAAACAGUGCCAAAAAAGACUUGCUUUAUGCUGCGGUGAAUAUUUGAUGACCGGUGUCCGGAAGUGAUGAGGAUUUCAUGCUCUUCAGUGAGUGAAGCUUCCUUUCCUAUCUACCUUGUUUGCGGCUGCAACGCCCUGACAGCACCUGGUCCAGAGGGGAAUCGUGAGUCUUUAUGCUGGAGUAGGACUUGACCUCUGACAUCUCUAAUGUGAUGCAAAAGACUAACAGAUUCUUGGCACUGGAGGAGAGUUCGACACGGAUCACAGUCGGACCAGGGCCCGAAGUCUCCCAGCUGACAGUUUAUUUGACAGGACUGUUCAUUGCAAGAUCGACUCUCAUAUUUUGUACAAAGCCGGUCACAAUUGUUUU
Hyla sarda is the source of this 411-nucleotide long non-coding RNA. RefSeq lists it as uncharacterized. The transcript has 4 exons. The record is from RefSeq and is a predicted model, not a curated record. Lineage: Eukaryota; Metazoa; Chordata; Amphibia; Anura; Hylidae.